Molecule: ribosomal RNA, 253 nt
Filed under: uncultured bacterium
Lineage: Bacteria
Description: partial 16S ribosomal RNA
Rfam family: Bacterial small subunit ribosomal RNA
Source: RNAcentral
UACGGGGGGGGCAAGCGUUGUUCGGAAUUACUGGGCGUAAAGGGCGCGUAGGCGGCUUGGCAAGUGGAAGGUGAAAUCCCUCGGCUUAACCGAGGAACUGCCCUCCAAACUGCUUUGCUUGAGGCCGGGAGAGGUGAGUGGAAUUCCCAGUGUAGCGGUGAAAUGCGUAGAUAUCAGGAGGAACACCGAUGGCGAAGGCAGGUCUCUGGGCUGACACUGACGCUCAUGCACGAAAGCGUGGGGAGCAAACAGG